GUGAGGAAUAUUGCGCAAUGGACGAAAGUCUGACGCAGCCAUGCCGCGUGAAGGAUUGACGGCCCUAUGGGUUGUAAACUUCUUUUGUAUAGGAAUAAACCCUCGUUCGUGAACGAGGCUGAAGGUACUAUAAGAAUAAGCACCGGCUAACUCCGUGCCAGCAGCCGCGGUAAUAAGGAGGGUGCAAGCGUUAUCCGGAUUUAUUGGGUUUAAAGGGUCCGUAGGCGGAUCGUUAAGUCAGUGGUGAAAUCCUACCGCUCAACGGUAGAACUGCCAUUGAUACUGGCGAUCUUGAGUAUGUAUGAAGUUGGCGGAAUGUGUGGUGUAGCGGUGAAAUGCUUAGAUAUCACACAGAACACCGAUUGCGAAGGCAGCUGACUAAUACACAACUGACGCUGAGGGACGAAAGUGUGGGGAUCAAACAGGAUUAGAUACCCUUGUAGUCC
RNAcentral lists this ribosomal RNA (446 nucleotides) under uncultured bacterium. RNAcentral's name for it is "partial 16S ribosomal RNA". It matches the Rfam family "Bacterial small subunit ribosomal RNA", at positions 354 to 796 of the family's 1533-position model. The record is from RNAcentral.